This 253-nucleotide ribosomal RNA is filed under the name uncultured bacterium. RNAcentral describes it as "partial 16S ribosomal RNA". It matches the Rfam family "Bacterial small subunit ribosomal RNA", at positions 524 to 776 of the family's 1533-position model. The record is from RNAcentral.
UACGGAGGGUGCAAGCGUUAAUCGGAAUUACUGGGCGUAAAGGGCGCGUAGGCGGUACGUUAGGUCUGCCGUGAAAUCCCCGAGCUCAACCUGGGAAUGGCGGUGGAAACCGGCGCACUAGAGUAUGGGAGAGGGUGAUGGAAUUCCAGGUGUAGCGGUGAAAUGCGUAGAGAUCUGGAGGAACAUCAGUAGCGAAGGCGGUCAUCUGGCCCAAUACUUACGCUGAGGCGCGAAAGCGUGGGGAGCAAACAGG